CCCUUAGAUGUUCUGGGCCGCACGCGCGCUACACUGACGAAUGCAACGAGCUUAUAACCUUGGCCGAAAGGUCUGGGUAAUCUCCAAAUUUCGUCGUGAUGGGGAUAGAUUAUUGCAAUUAGUAAUCUUCAACGAGGAAUGCCUAGUAAGCGCAAGUCAUCAGCUUGCGUUGAUUACGUCCCUGCCCUUUGUACACACCGCCCGUCGCUCCUACCGAUUGAAUGGUCCGGUGAAGCGUUCGGACCGUGGCCUUUGGACGGUUCGCCGUCUGUUGGCUGCGGGAAGUUCGUUAAACCUUAUCAUUUAGAGGAAGGAGAAGUCGUAACA
RNAcentral lists this ribosomal RNA (327 nucleotides) under uncultured eukaryote. RNAcentral describes it as "partial 18S ribosomal RNA". It matches the Rfam family "Eukaryotic small subunit ribosomal RNA", at positions 1470 to 1796 of the family's 1831-position model. The record is from RNAcentral.